GAGUAACACACGCUGUCUAAAUGGCCCAAAUGUUGAUUUAGACAUUGACAAAUGUAACAGAUUUUGACGAUCACUAAUGUCAUGAUAUGUUUGGUAAAGUCGUAAAGAAGGUGAAAUAUUUUGGGUACAUUUUCCUAAAACAUAACUAUAUAUGGACAUAAUAUAAAGUAUGAAAAUACUUAUUUUAUAUCAUAUUUGUAUAUGUUUUAUUAUACGUUUAUUGUGUACUAGAUCAUAUGGGUUGAAGUGUUUAUUGUGUACUAGAUCAUAUGGGUUGAAGUGUUUAUUGUGGACUAGAUCAUAUGGGUUGAAGUGUUUAUUGUGUACUAGAUCAUAUGGGUUGAAGUGUUUAUUGUGUACUAGAUCAUAUGGGUUGAAGUGUUUAUUGUGGACUAGAUCAUAUGGGUUGAAGUGUUUAUUGUGUACUAGAUCAUAUGGGUUGAAGUGUUUAUUGUGUACUAGAUCAUAUGGGUUGAAGUGUUUAUUGUGUACUAGAUCAUAUGGGUUGAAGUGUUUAUUGUGUACUAGAUCAUAUGGGUUGAAGUGUUUAUUGUGUACUAGAUCAUAUGGGUUGAAGUGUUUAUUGUGUACUAGAUCAUAUGGGUUGAAGUGUUUAUUGUGUACUAGAUCAUAUGGGUUGAAGUGUUUGUGUACUAGAUAAUAUGGGUUGAAGUGUUUAUUGUGUACUAGAUCAUAUGGGUUGAAGUGUUUAUUGUGGACUAGAUCAUAUGGGUUGAAGUGUUUAUUGUGGACUAGAUCAUAUGGGUUGAAGUGUUUAUUGUGGACUAGAUCGUAUGGGUUGAAGUGUUUAUUGUGUACUAGAUCAUAUGGGUUGAAGUGUUUAUUGUGUACUAGAUUAUAUGGGUUGAAGUGUUUAUUGUGGACUAGAUCAUAUGGGUUGAAGUGUUUAUUGUGGACUACAUCAUAUGGGUUGAAGUGUUUAUUGUGUACUAGAUCAUAUGGGUUGAAGUGUUUAUUGUGAACUAGAUCAUAUGGGUUGAAGUGUUUAUUGUGUACUAGAUCAUAUGGGUUGAAGUGUUUAUUGUGGACUAGAUCAUAUGGGAUGAAACAUGUUUUUUUUCUCAGACAUACAGUGUACGUGGAAAGUAUUCAGACCCCUUAACUUUUUACACAUUUUGUUACAUUACAGCCCUAUUCUAAAACAGAUUAAAUUGUUUUUUCCCUCAUCAAUCUACACACAAUACCCCAUAAUGACAACGCAAAAACAGGUUUUUAGCAGUUAGAUGUGUACACCUGGGGUGAGUUUCUAGUAUAGUUAGUAGUUAGAUUAGUACACCUGGGGUGAGUUACUAGUAUAGUUAGUAGUUAGGAGUACACCUGGGGUGAGUUACUAGUAUAGUUAGUAGGUAGUUAGAGGAGUAAACCUGGGGUGAGUUACUAGUAUAGUUAGUAGUUAGAGGAGUACACCUGGGGUGAGUUACUAGUAUAGUUAGUAGUUAAAGGAGUACACCUAGGGUGAGUUACUAGUGUAGUUAGUAGUUAGAGGAGUACACCUGGGGUGAGUUACUAGUAUAGUUAGUAGUUAGAGGAGUACACCUGGGGUGAGUUACUAGUAUAGUUAGUUGUUAAAGGAGUACACCUAGGGUGAGUUACUAGUAUAGUUAGUAGUUAGAGGAGUACACCUGGGGUGGGUUACUAGUAUAGUUAGUAGUUAGAGGAGUACACCUGGGGUGAGUUACUAGUGUAGUUAGUAGUUAGAGGAGUACGCCUGGGGUGAGUUACUAGUAUAGUUAGUAGUUAGAGGAGUACACCUGGGGUGAGUUAUUAGUAUAGUUAGUAGUUAGAAAUGACCUGUGAAAUGAUUCAAAUCCAAUGUAUUGGUCACAUACACGUGUUUAGCAGAUGUUAUUGCGGGUGUAGUGAAAUGCUUGUGCUUCUAACUCCGACAGUGCAGUAAUAUCUAACAAGUAAUAUCUAACAGUUUCACAACAUUUACCCCAAAAUACACGUAAAUCUAAGUAAGGAAUGGAUUAAGAAUAUAUACAUAUGUCAGAGCAGCAUUGGACUAAGAUACAGUGGCACAGUAUAGAAUACAGUAUAUACAUAUGAGAUGGGUGAUGCAAUAUUUACACAGAAUUAAAGUGACUAAGAUACCGUAGAAUAGUAUAGAAUACAGUUUAUACAUAUGAGAUGGGUGAUGCAAUAUUUACACAGAAUUAAAGUGACUAAGAUACCGUAGAAUAGUAUAGAUUACAGUUUAUACAUAUGAGAUGAGUAAUGCAAGAUACAGAAACAUUAAAGUGCCUAUUGUUUCAUUUCCUUAAAGUGGCCAGUGAUUUCUAAUCUAUGUCUAUAGGCAGCAGCCUCUGAUGUGCUGGAGAUGCUGUUUAACAGUCAGUGGUGUAGUAUAGAAUACAAUACAGUAUAUACAUAAGAAAUGGGUGAUGCAAUAUUUAAACACAAUUAAAAGUGACUAAGAUACCGUAGAAUAGUGUAGAGUGCAGUUUAUACAUAUGAGAUGAGUAAUGCUAGAUACAGAAACAUUAUUAAAGUGGCUAAUGAUCCAUUUCUAAAAGUGGCCAGUGAUUUCUAUGUCUGUCUAUAGGCAGCCGCCUCUGAUGUGCUAAUGAUGGGCUGUUUAGCAGUCUGAUGGCCUUGAGAUAGAAGCUGUUUUUCAGUCUCUCGGUCACAGCUUUGAUGCACCUGUACUGACUUCGCCUUCUGGAUGAAUGCGGGGUGAACAGGCAGUGGCUCGGAUGGUUGAUGUCCUUGAUGAUCUUUUUGGCCUUCCUAUGGCAUCGGGUGCUGUAGGUGUCCUGGAGGGCGGGAAGUUUGUCCCCGGUAAUGCGUUGGGCAGACCGCACCACCUUCUGGAGAGCUUUGCGGUUGUGGGCGGUGCAGUUGUUGUACCAGGCGGUGAUACAGCCCGACAGGAUGCUCUUAAUUGUGUAGCUGUAAAAUUUUGUGAGGGUUUUAGGUGCCGAGCCAAAUGUCUUUAGCCUCCUGAGGUUGAAGAGGCGCUGUUGUGCCUUUUUCACCACACUGACUGUGUGGGUGGACCAUUUCAGUUUGUCAGUGAUGUGUACGCCGAGGAACUUGAAGCUUUCAACCUUCACUGCGGUCCCAUUUAUGUGGAUGAGGGGUGCACCCUCUGCUGUUUCCACGAUCAUCUCCUUAGUUUUGUUGACGUUGAGUGAGAAGUUAUUUUCCUGACACCACACUCCGAGGGCCCUCACCUCCUCCUUGUAGGCUGUCUCAUCGUUGUUGGUAAUCAAGCCUACCACUGUAGUGUUGUCUGCAAACUUGAUGAUUGAGUUGGAGGCGUGCUUGGCCACACAGUCAUGGGUGAACAGGGAGUACAGGAGGGGGCUGAGCACGCACCCUUGUGGGGCCCCAGUGUUGAGGAUCAGCAAAGACGAGGUGUUGUUUCCUACCUUCACCACCUGGGGGCGACCUGUCAGGAAGUCCAGGACCCAGUUUCACAGGGCGGGAUUCAGACCCAGGACAUAGAGCUUGAUGAUGAGCUUGGAGAGUACUAUGGUGUUGAAUGCUGAGCUAUAGUCAAUGAACAGCAUUCUUACAUAGGUAUUCCUCUUGUCCAGAUGGGAUACGGCAGUGUGCAGUGUGGCGGCGAUUGCAUCAUCUGUGGAUCUAUUGGGGCAGUAAGCAAAUUGAAGUGGGUCUAGGGUGACAGGUAAGGUGGAGGUGAUAUGAUCCUUGACUAGUCUCUCAAAGCACUUCACGAUGACAGAGGUGAGUGCUACGGGGCGAUAGUAGUUUAGUUCAAUUACCUUUGCUUUCUUAGGUACAGGGACAAUGGUGGCCAUUUUGAAGCAUGUGGGGACAACAGACUGGGAUAGGGAGAGAUUGAAUAUAUCUGUAAACACACCAGCCAGCUGGUCUGCGCAUGCUCUGAGGAUGUGGCUAGGGAUACCAUCUGGGCAGGCAGCCUUGCGAGGGUUAACACUCUUAAGUGUCUUACUCACUUCGGCCAUGGAGAAGGAGAGCCCACAGUCCUUGAUAGCGGACUGCGUCAGUGACACUGUAUUAUCCUCAAAGCAAACGCAGAAGGUGUUCAGCCUGUCCGGGAAGCAAGACGUCGGUGUCCUGGUCGCUAGUUUUCCCUUUAUAAUCCGU
RNAcentral lists this long non-coding RNA (4098 nucleotides) under Salmo salar (Atlantic salmon). Its description in RNAcentral is "lncRNA (ENSSSAG00000120997.1)". The record is from RNAcentral. Lineage: Eukaryota; Metazoa; Chordata; Actinopteri; Salmoniformes; Salmonidae.